RNAcentral lists this ribosomal RNA (379 nucleotides) under uncultured organism. RNAcentral describes it as "partial 16S ribosomal RNA". It matches the Rfam family "Bacterial small subunit ribosomal RNA", at positions 527 to 896 of the family's 1533-position model. The record is from RNAcentral.
GAACCGGACAAACGUUUAUUCGGAAUUAUUGGGCUUAAAGGGUGCGUAGGCGGCGCGGUAAUUGAGGUGUGAAAGCCCACGACUCAAUCGUGGAAUUGCGCUUCAUACUGCCGUGCUAGAGGGAGACAGAGGUAAGCGGAACUGAUGGUGGAGCGGUGAAAUGCGUUGAUAUUAUCAGGAACACCGGUGGCGAAGGCGGCUUACUGGGUCUCUUCUGACGCUGAGGCACGAAAGCUAGGGUAGCGAACGGGGGAUUAGAUACCCCGGUAGUCCUAGCUGUAAACGAUGAGCACUUGGUUGGGGAACCCUCCCCGAUAGUUUCCCCGACCGCAGCGAAAGUGUUAAGUGCUCCGCCUGGGGGAGUAUGGUCGCAAGGCUG